GGGCCGGUAGCGCAGCCUGGGAGCGCGCCGCCUUCGCAAGGCGGAGGUCGAGGGUUCGAAUCCCUCUCGGUCCA
Molecule: transfer RNA, 74 nt
Filed under: archaeon
Lineage: Archaea
Description: tRNA-Ala
Rfam family: tRNA
About the family: Transfer RNA (tRNA) molecules are approximately 80 nucleotides in length. Their secondary structure includes four short double-helical elements and three loops (D, anti-codon, and T loops).
Source: RNAcentral